UUGGGUGGUUCUUUUUAACUUGCAAUUAAAUAUAGUUACCUCAACAGUAACACCCCCC
This 58-nucleotide transfer RNA is filed under the name Damon diadema. RNAcentral's name for it is "tRNA-Ala". The record is from RNAcentral. Lineage: Eukaryota; Metazoa; Arthropoda; Arachnida; Amblypygi; Phrynichidae.